RNAcentral lists this long non-coding RNA (2968 nucleotides) under Nicotiana tabacum (common tobacco). RNAcentral describes it as "long non-coding RNA (NTAB_LNC000309)". The record is from RNAcentral. Lineage: Eukaryota; Viridiplantae; Streptophyta; Magnoliopsida; Solanales; Solanaceae.
GCGAAUUCGUGCCCGAAAUUCUCAAAUCUAGUCAUAAACAAUUCGAUUCAAUCAAUAAAAAUUAUAGGAAUUAAUUCCGUAUGAAAUUCUACAUUUUCCAUUAAAAAUCUGAAAUUGCACUAAAAAUUCGCCCGUGGGCCCACGUCUCGGAACCCGACAAAAAUAUGGAAUAUGAAACCUCAUCCAACCACGAGUCCAACCAUACCAAUUUUACAAAAAUCCGACAUCAACUCGACCCUUAAAUUUUCAAAUUAAACCAAGAGGGUUUUCAAAAUUUUCCUAACUAAAAUCACCAAUUAAAUGCCAAAACUAGUAAUAGAUUCGGGUAAUCUAACUAAAAUUAAGUUAAGAACACUUACCCCAUUGUUUUCUCUGAAAAUCUCCCGAAAAUCCCCUCUCCCCGAGCUCCAAUUUGGUACAAAUGGAAAAUGGGACGAAGUCCCAUUUUCAGAGCUUAACAUUCUGUCCAGCACUGUUCAUGGGCGCUGUUCACUUGUAAUGUUCACGCGUACAGUUCACGGGUACUGUUAACGGGCACUGUUCGUGGGUACUGUUCCCAUGCUGUAAAAAAUCAGCAGCUGUCCAAAGAGAAAAUUCAGCAGCCUUUUUAUAUCCGUUAACCUUCCGAAAUCCACCCGAGGCCCUCGGGACUUCAACAAAAUAUACCAACAAGUCCUAAAACAUGAUACGGACUUAGUCGAAACCUCAAAUCACAUCAAAUAAUGCUAAAAUCGUGAAUCACCCCAAUUCAAGCCUAAUGAAACUAAAAACGUCCAACUUCUAUAUUCGAUGCAAAAACCUAUCAAAUCAAGUCCGAUUGACUUCAAAUUUUGCACACAAGUCAUAAAUGACAUAACAAAGCUAUGAAAAUUUUCAGAACUGGAUUCCGAUCCCGAUAUCAAAAAGUCAAAUCUCCGGUCAAACUUGAGAAAUCUUUAACCUUAGAUUUCUAGAUUCAGUUAAAUGGCGAUAAUUUGAUCUAGGGACCUCUAAAUUCGAUUUCGGGCAUAUGACCAAGUCCCAAAUCACGAUACGGAACUACCGGAAUGGUCAAAACUUUUAUCCGGAUUCGUUUGCAUAAAAUAUUGACCGAAGUCAACUCAAUUGAGUUUUAAAGCUCUAAUUCACAAUUUAAUCCAUUUUUCAUAUAUGAACCUUCCGAAAAAUUAUACGGACUGCGCACGCAAGUCGAGGAUUUAUUGAUAGCGCUUUUCAAGGUUUUAAAAUACCGAGAUAAUUAUUUAAAUUAAAUAUGACAUUUUGGGUCAUCACAUAGAAAUAGUACAACUGAAGAAUAAGAAGGCAAUGUGGUUGUAUCCAAGGAUGAUGAGUGUUCAUCCUUCUGAAAGAUGGAGUCAUUCUUCUUGUUACUCUAAUGACUGUAUUUUCCUACUGCAAAGUGGAUGUUAUGGACUGAAAAACUCAGAGUUAGUUUGGCCGUGCUUUCAUUCCUUCAUGUUACUGUAAAGUUUUGUUUUCAUAUAUUAUAUACAUCUCUUUUGUUUUUCUUGUCCUAAUGUUGAUAAUUCAGCUCAACUAAAUUGGUGUAUACAUGCAUGUUCCUUUCUUGUUUCUUCUUCCAGGAAAAAAAAAACAAGAAAAUGAAAAAAUGCAAUUAAAGGAAAAACAAAAUGAAGGAAAAUUCAAUUUUCUGUUUUACGUUUUGUCUCCUUCAAUUUGUACUUACUGCAGUUACAACUAUAGAUGUCACAUUAAUCUCUACCAAAUGAACAACUUUCUAGGAGUAUGGUUUUUUUGAAAAAAAAAUUCCUUUUCUAUAUUUAAUUUGUUUAAAGUUUUCACAUCAUAUAUUUGUUGGCGUAAAGAAUUUUUACAGUAACAUAUUUUUAAAUCAAGAGUACAUAAAUUAAACACUUGGGAAUUUAUAUAACUUUCUCUUGUUUUCACUUACACACUUAAUCAUAGAUCAUAGUUGAAUACAUUUAUAUAGCAUAUAAAAAUCCUCAAUAGAAAUGAAGAACUUCCAAAGUGAGCAGAGUUUAAAUGUCAGGUUUCAAAACACUAUCAAUUUAACAAGCUAUUUUGUGGAAAUUGGGCCCGGGCACAACCCGGACUUCUCCAACUAGUAUGAAAAUAUGUAUUAGUAAAUAAUAACCAUGGUUAAGUGAGAAGAGUCUAUUUAUAUAUAUACAUAUCAUGCAUUUAUUGAUUUGAUGUACACACGUGUUACAGGUAAAUUUUUACCAAAAAACAUAUCAUACUUUUGCUGGAGAUGAGUACAUGAAUGCUGAUAUUUCCCAGGAUAACAAACCCAUCUUGUUAAAACUAUUUUGGUUGUAGUAUAUGGCAUUAUGUUAAGUUUUAACAAACACAUAGUUAAAUUUAAUCAAUCUAGUUAACAAACUCAAUGCCGCAAUUUAAGGGCCAAGUCAAUGCAACACCUUUAAUGGAUACAUUAAAACUUUGUUCUAAUGAAAUCCAUUGUUUGCUUAAUUAAUUGCUUAUCAUGAAGUGUAUAAUAACUCUCUCAACUCAGCCACAUAGUGAAGCCAAAGCAUACAACUUUUGGAAGCAUUCAACGUACAUGACUAUGUCUAAUCUAACCAUCAAAAGUUAUAUCGGAAUGAAUAAAAUCCCUUCACUUUUAGUUAAAUGUCUUGGAUUUGAGCUUUGAAUACGAAAAAAAGAUCCUAGUAAGAAGUAUUUUUUUCCUUUAAUAAAUUUUAGGUGGCACAAAUUCUGAUUAAUUGGGAUCCUAAUGCGUUUAACAAAUCACAAGAUAAGAAAUAGAAUUAAAAAAAAAAAAGAGAGACUAUGUCUACUGUACAGUUCCAAAUCGAAAAUGACAAGAUCCUUUUACUUACAAAAUCGAUCCUUUUACUUACAAAAUCACAAUAGAAUGUGCAGUAUGGUCUUGCAAAGGCUGCUGCCGGCCGGCUAUACUUUCCACAGGACCAUCGACACGUGACCGCAGAUUUUUGCCGAGUUGCCAACCUUUGAAUAAGAU